GGCAGACGGGUGAGUAACAUGUAGGUAUCUGCCCUUUGGCCUGGAAUAACACGAGGAAACUUGUGCUAAUACCGGAUAAGUCUUUACGGAGAAAGCUUUAUGCACCUUUGGAUGAGCCUGCACUUGAUUAGUUUGUUGGUGGGGUAAUGGCCUACCAAGACUGUGAUCAAUAGCUGAUUUGAGAGGAUGAUCAGCCACAUUGGGACUGAGACACGGCCCAAACUCCUACGGGAGGCAGCAGUGGGGAAUCUUGCACAAUGGAGGAAACUCUGAUGCAGCGAUGCCGCGUGAGUGAAGAAGGCCUUUGGGUUGUAAAGCUCUUUCGUCGGGGAAGAAAAUGACUGUACCCGAAUAAGAAGGUCCGGCUAACUUCGUGCCAGCAGCCGCGGUAAUACGAAGGGACCUAGCGUAGUUCGGAAUUACUGGGCUUAAAGAGUUCGUAGGUGGUUGAAAAAGUUGGUGGUGAAAUCCCAGAGCUUAACUCUGGAACUGCCAUCAAAACUUUUCAGCUAGAGUAUGAUAGAGGAAAGCAGAAUUUCUAGUGUAGAGGUGAAAUUCGUAGAUAUUAGAAAGAAUACCAAUUGCGAAGGCAGCUUUCUGGAUCAUUACUGACACUGAGGAACGAAAGCAUGGGUAGCGAAGAGGAUUAGAUACCCUCGUAGUCCAUGCCGUAAACGAUGUGUGUUAGACGUUGGAAAAUUAUUUUCAGUGUCGCAGCGAAAAGCGAUAAACACCC
RNAcentral lists this ribosomal RNA (736 nucleotides) under uncultured marine bacterium. RNAcentral describes it as "bacterial SSU rRNA". It matches the Rfam family "Bacterial small subunit ribosomal RNA", at positions 97 to 869 of the family's 1533-position model. The record is from RNAcentral.